ACUCCUACGGGAGGCAGCAGUGGGGAAUAUUGCACAAUGGGCGCAAGCCUGAUGCAGCCAUGCCGCGUGUAUGAAGAAGGCCUUCGGGUUGUAAAGUACUUUCAGCAGUGAGGAAGGUGGGUAUGUUAAUAGCAUACUCAUUUGACGUUAGCUGCAGAAGAAGCACCGGCUAACUCCGUGCCAGCAGCCGCGGUAAUACGGAGGGUGCGAGCGUUAAUCGGAAUUACUGGGCGUAAAGCGCAUGCAGGUGGUUUGUUAAGUCAGAUGUGAAAGCCCGGGGCUCAACCUCGGAAUUGCAUUUGAAACUGGCAAACUAGAGUACUGUAGAGGGGGGUAGAAUUUCAGGUGUAGCGGUGAAAUGCGUAGAGAUCUGAAGGAAUACCGGUGGCGAAGGCGGCCCCCUGGACAGAUACUGACACUCAGAUGCGAAAGCGUGGGGAGCAAACAGGAUUAGAUACCCUUGUAGGCUCUGC
Molecule: ribosomal RNA, 473 nt
Filed under: uncultured bacterium
Lineage: Bacteria
Description: bacterial SSU rRNA
Rfam family: Bacterial small subunit ribosomal RNA
Source: RNAcentral